UACGUAGGGACCGAGCGUUGUCCGGAUUUACUGGGCGUAAAGAGCGCGCAGGCGGCUGGUCAAGUCCGAUGUGAAAUCUCCCGGCUCAACUGGGAAACUGCAUCGGAAACUGAUCGGCUUGAAGAUGGGAGAGGGUAGUGGAAUUCCCGGUGUAGUGGUGAAAUGCGUAGAUAUCGGGAGGAACACCAGUGGCGAAGGCGACUACCUGGCCCAUUCUUGACGCUGAGGCGCGAAAGCUAGGGGAGCGAACGGG
RNAcentral lists this ribosomal RNA (253 nucleotides) under uncultured bacterium. RNAcentral's name for it is "partial 16S ribosomal RNA". It matches the Rfam family "Bacterial small subunit ribosomal RNA", at positions 524 to 776 of the family's 1533-position model. The record is from RNAcentral.